UACGUAGGGUGCAAGCGUUAAUCGGAAUUACUGGGCGUAAAGCGUGCGCAGGCGGUUUGGUAAGUCUGACGUGAAAUCCCCGGGCUCAACCUGGGAAUUGCGUUGGAGACUGCAAGGCUAGAAUCUGGCAGAGGGGGGUAGAAUUCCACGUGUAGCGGUGAAAUGCGUAGAGAUGUGGAGGAACGCCGAUGGCGAAGGCAGCCCCCUGGGUCAAGAUUGACGCUCAUGCACGAAAGCGUGGGGAGCAAACAGG
RNAcentral lists this ribosomal RNA (253 nucleotides) under uncultured bacterium. RNAcentral's name for it is "partial 16S ribosomal RNA". It matches the Rfam family "Bacterial small subunit ribosomal RNA", at positions 524 to 776 of the family's 1533-position model. The record is from RNAcentral.